UGUGGAAGCCUGAAUCUGAGUGGGUGCAGUUCCAGUGUCUGCACGCAACAAGCAGUCUUCCUAUAGUAAUACUGGAGAUCUCUGUCUGGCUCUGGAAAGGAAGCUCUGAGCCAGAUCGUUCCUCUCUGUACACG
Molecule: non-coding RNA, 134 nt
Organism: Spea bombifrons (plains spadefoot toad)
Lineage: Eukaryota; Metazoa; Chordata; Amphibia; Anura; Pelobatidae
Product: small Cajal body-specific RNA 3
Exons: 1
Source: RefSeq, a predicted model, not a curated record